Molecule: long non-coding RNA, 342 nt
Filed under: Heterocephalus glaber (naked mole-rat)
Lineage: Eukaryota; Metazoa; Chordata; Mammalia; Rodentia; Bathyergidae
Description: lncRNA (ENSHGLG00000042173.1)
Source: RNAcentral
CUCCGAGCCCCUGGCACGGCCACAGUCCUCCCUGGAGGCUGCCUGGCUCCCUCCAGCAGGGCCACGCUGGCUGUUCCUGAGACGGGGAGUGCUCUCCCUGAGGUGGGCUCGGGUCGUGGUCCUUGCUGAAGCCUUGGUCACAGCCAUGCAGAACAGGCUCUGGCUAUGUUGCCUACACUGGUCUCAAACUCCUGGACUCAAAGCAAUUCUCCUGCCUUGGCCUCCUGAGGAGCUGUGUGUGCACCACAGAAACCAGUUCUUAAUAAAAACAAAACUAAUCAAUGGGGAACGGAAAGAUCUAAACUCACAGAUCCCAGACUCAAAUGGUGAGUGAUAUUUUGA